UUUCCAGCAUCAACGGAUAGCCACAGGAGGGAGACCAAAGCUGCAGCAGCCCAACCUAUUCUCACCAUGCCUGUGUGAUUUCCUGUGCUGCUGCCUGCAGACAGACGAGGCACGGCGCUGGUCUGCCAAGGAGCUCCUGCAGCAUCCAUUUGUAACAUCAGCCAAGCCAGCAUCCACCCUGUCACCACUCAUUAUUUCAUUGAAGAAGAAGAAGAAGAAGUGUGACGGAAGACACUGUCUUCAUAACUAGUGUAGAGUAGAACUGUAGUGUAGGAUUGACGAGUAGUUUUGUAAAGUAGGAUUUUCAGGUAGUAGGAUUGUAGAGUAGGAUUAUAGAGUAGGAUUCCUGAGUAGGAGGACUGUAGUGUAGGAUGUUGUGUAGGAUUGUAGAGUAGGAUUGCAAAUAAAUAGUUUUCUGAAACAUCAACUCA
Molecule: non-coding RNA, 431 nt
Organism: Cyanistes caeruleus (blue tit)
Lineage: Eukaryota; Metazoa; Chordata; Aves; Passeriformes; Paridae
Source: RefSeq, a predicted model, not a curated record